GAUGAACGCUGGCGGCGUGCCUAAUACAUGCAAGUCGAGCGAAUGGAUUAAGAGCUUGCUCUUAUGAAGUUAGCGGCGGACGGGUGAGUAACACGUGGGUAACCUGCCCAUAAGACUGGGAUAACUCCGGGAAACCGGGGCUAAUACCGGAUAACAUUUUGAACCGCAUGGUUCGAAAUUGAAAGGCGGCUUCGGCUGUCACUUAUGGAUGGACCCGCGUCGCAUUAGCUAGUUGGUGAGGUAACGGCUCACCAAGGCAACGAUGCGUAGCCGACCUGAGAGGGUGAUCGGCCACACGUGGACUGAGACACGGCCCAGACUCCUACGGGAGGCAGCAGUAGGGAAGCUUCCGCAAUGGACGAAAGUCUGACGGAGCAAUGCCGCGUGAGUGAUGAAGGCUUUCGGGUCGUAAAACUCUGUUGUUAGGGAAGAACAAGUGCUAGUUGAAUAAGCUGGCACCUUGACGGUACCUAACCAGAAAGCCACGGCUAACUACGUGCCAGCCGCCGCGGUAA
RNAcentral lists this ribosomal RNA (515 nucleotides) under uncultured bacterium. Its description in RNAcentral is "partial 16S ribosomal RNA". It matches the Rfam family "Bacterial small subunit ribosomal RNA", at positions 28 to 523 of the family's 1533-position model. The record is from RNAcentral.